This 85-nucleotide non-coding RNA is filed under the name Exiguobacterium artemiae. RNAcentral describes it as "TPP riboswitch (THI element)". It matches the Rfam family "TPP riboswitch aptamer (THI element)", at positions 6 to 94 of the family's 105-position model. Rfam says of the family: Vitamin B(1) in its active form thiamin pyrophosphate (TPP) is an essential coenzyme that is synthesised by coupling of pyrimidine and thiazole moieties in bacteria. The previously detected thiamin-regulatory element, thi box was extended, resulting in a new, highly conserved RNA secondary structure, the THI element, which is widely distributed in eubacteria and also occurs in some archaea. Analysis of operon structures identified a large number of new candidate thiamin-regulated genes, mostly transporters, in various prokaryotic organisms. The record is from RNAcentral. Lineage: Bacteria; Bacillati; Bacillota; Bacilli; Caryophanales.
UCCACUAGGGGAGCCAUUUGGCUGAGACGAUUCACUUCGGACCCUUUGAACCUGAUCUAGUUCAUACUAGCGUAGGAAAGUGGAG